Molecule: ribosomal RNA, 436 nt
Filed under: uncultured Desulfuromonas sp.
Lineage: Bacteria; Pseudomonadati; Thermodesulfobacteriota; Desulfuromonadia; Desulfuromonadales; Desulfuromonadaceae
Description: bacterial SSU rRNA
Rfam family: Bacterial small subunit ribosomal RNA
Source: RNAcentral
AAUUCGACGCAACGCGAAGAACCUUUACCUGGGCUUGACAUCCCGAUCGUACCUGCUGGAAACAGCGGGGUCAGUUCGGCUGGAUCGGAGACAGGUGCUGCAUGGCUGUCGUCAGCUCGUGUCGUGAGAUUGUUGGGUUAAGUCCCGCAACGAGCGCAACCCUUGUCCUUAGUUGCCAUCAUUUAGUUGGGCACUCUAAGGAGACUGCCGGUGUUAAACCGGAGAAGUGGGGAUGACGUCAAGUCCUCAUGGCCCUUAUGUCCAGGGCUACACACGUGCUACAAUGGCCGGUACAAAGGGCAGCAAAGCCGCGAGGUGGAGCCAAUCCCAGAAAGCCGGUCUCAGUUCGGAUUGGAGUCUGCAACUCGACUCCAUGAAGUUGGAAUCGCUAGUAAUCGCGGAUCAGCAUGCCGCGGUGAAUACGUUCCCGGGCCUU